This 1180-nucleotide ribosomal RNA is filed under the name Streptomyces thermoviolaceus subsp. thermoviolaceus. RNAcentral's name for it is "partial 23S ribosomal RNA". It matches the Rfam family "Bacterial large subunit ribosomal RNA", at positions 1761 to 2925 of the family's 2925-position model. The record is from RNAcentral. Lineage: Bacteria; Bacillati; Actinomycetota; Actinomycetes; Kitasatosporales; Streptomycetaceae.
UCGGAGCUGGGGUUGGCCGCAGAGACCAGCGAGAAGCGACUGUUUACUAAAAACACAGGUCCGUGCGAAGCCGUAAGGCGAUGUAUACGGACUGACGCCUGCCCGGUGCUGGAACGUUAAGGGGACCGGUUAGCUGGCUUUCGGGCCGGCGAAGCUGAGAACUUAAGCGCCAGUAAACGGCGGUGGUAACUAUAACCAUCCUAAGGUAGCGAAAUUCCUUGUCGGGUAAGUUCCGACCUGCACGAAUGGCGUAACGACUUCUCGACUGUCUCAACCAUAGGCCCGGUGAAAUUGCACUACGAGUAAAGAUGCUCGUUUCGCGCAGCAGGACGGAAAGACCCCGGGACCUUUACUACAGUUUGAUAUUGGUGUUCGGUUCGGCUUGUGUAGGAUAGCUGGGAGACUGUGAAGCCUGGACGCCAGUUCGGGUGGAGUCGUCGUUGAAAUACCAGUCUGGUCGUGCUGGAUGUCUAACCUGGGUCCGUGAUCCGGAUCAGGGACAGUGUCUGAUGGGUAGUUUAACUGGGGCGGUUGCCUCCUAAAGGGUAACGGAGGCGCCCAAAGGUUCCCUCAGCCUGGUUGGCAAUCAGGUGUUGAGUGUAAGUGCACAAGGGAGCUUGACUGUGAGACCGACGGGUCGAGCAGGGACGAAAGUCGGGACUAGUGAUCCGGCGGUGGCUUGUGGAAGCGCCGUCGCUCAACGGAUAAAAGGUACCCCGGGGAUAACAGGCUGAUCUUCCCCAAGAGUCCAUAUCGACGGGAUGGUUUGGCACCUCGAUGUCGGCUCGUCGCAUCCUGGGGCUGGAGUCGGUCCCAAGGGUUGGGCUGUUCGCCCAUUAAAGCGGUACGCGAGCUGGGUUUAGAACGUCGUGAGACAGUUCGGUCCCUAUCCGCUGUGCGCGUAGGAGUCUUGAGAAGGGCUGUCCCUAGUACGAGAGGACCGGGACGGACGAACCUCUGGUGUGCCAGUUGUUCUGCCAAGGGCAUGGCUGGUUGGCUACGUUCGGGAGGGAUAACCGCUGAAAGCAUCUAAGCGGGAAGCCUGCUUCGAGAUGAGGGCUCCCACCCACUUGAUGGGGUAAGGCUCCCAGUAGAUGACUGGGUUGAUAGGCCGGAUCUGGAAGCCAGGUGACUGGUGGAGGUGACCGGUACUAAUAGGCCGAGGGCUUGUCCUCAGGUG